CUAAAGGAGAAUUUGGUGUCU
RNAcentral lists this non-coding RNA (21 nucleotides) under Arabidopsis thaliana (thale cress). The record is from RNAcentral. Lineage: Eukaryota; Viridiplantae; Streptophyta; Magnoliopsida; Brassicales; Brassicaceae.